This 527-nucleotide ribosomal RNA is filed under the name uncultured Bacillota bacterium. RNAcentral describes it as "bacterial SSU rRNA". It matches the Rfam family "Bacterial small subunit ribosomal RNA", at positions 11 to 536 of the family's 1533-position model. The record is from RNAcentral. Lineage: Bacteria; Bacillati; Bacillota.
CUUUGAUUAUGGCUCAGGAUGAACGCUGGCGGCGUGCUUAACACAUGCAAGUCGAACGAAGCAAUUGCGACAGAAGCCUUCGGGUGGAAGAUGUAAUUGACUGAGUGGCGGACGGGUGAGUAACGCGUGGGUAACCUGCCUUGUACAGGGGGAUAACAGUUAGAAAUGACUGCUAAUACCGCAUAAGCGCACAGUAUCGCAUGGUACAGUGUGAAAAACUCUGGUGGUACAAGAUGGACCCGCGUCUGAUUAGCUAGUUGGUAAGGUAACGGCUUACCAAGGCAACGAUCAGUAGCCGACUUGAGAGAGUGAUCGGCCACAUUGGGACUGAGACACGGCCCAAACUCCUACGGGAGGCAGCAGUGGGGAAUAUUGCACAAUGGGGGGAACCCUGAUGCAGCGACGCCGCGUGAGUGAAGAAGUAUUUCGGUAUGUAAAGCUCUAUCAGCAAGGAAGAUAAUGACGGUACUUGACUAAGAAGCCCCGGCUAACUACGUGCCAGCAGCCGCGGUAAUACGUAGGGGGCA